CGCCACGCCAAGCCGGCGCGCCCCGCUCCCGGCAGGCAACGGAGGCGGAGCCGCCGCAGGGCGGCGGGCGGGAGCUGGAGUGCGCAGCGGCCGUGCAAGCAGCGACUGAGUUGUUUUAAAGGAUGAAGUGGCUGAUCUGCUAAGAAUGCAUCUUGAUAGGAUGAGAUGCUGGGCCAGAAGACCAGAAGCUAUCGAGUGUUGUCCAUACCAGACUUUGCAAUUGAAGACAAGGAACAGAUCUGGAAUUUGUGGACUAAGGACUUGUACGUUACCACACUUGAUUUCUUCAGAUUAACUGUAAAUUUUCAAUAAUGGCAAUACACUCAUUCUGCCAUUUGGAGGAGCCUGUGCCACAGAAUAAUGAUCUGAAGAAAACUCACUUGUUUGUGAGGAGAAGUCUUCAAUUGGGAAGUAGUAUCAGUGCAGUUAAGAGGUUCUUUGUCAUAUUCAGGCCCUUACCCUGCCACUGGAUUUGUUCAAAUAGACCUCGGUAGCCAUGGGGCCUGACUGAGUCGAUGGGACUCUGGAUGACUGCAAGUUUCUACUCUGAAGAUCUGAUUGUAGGCCUGAAUCUAAAUUUCUUUUUUUAUUUCCCUAAUUGCUUCUAAUUAAUGAAAAGUAUCCCAUAAAAUGUUAUUGUCUUUGAGUCUCAUGCAUAUCUGCUUUCAUGGCAUUCAGGCUGUGUGUGCAUGGGAUGUUGUCAGACAUCUUUAAAAUAUUUCUGUUAUGUCAUGCACCAAAACCUCAUGAUUGCCAUGAUUAUUGUGUUAUAUUUUUACAUUGAAUGGCUUCUUACCUAAAAUGGAGGAGAUCAUCACCUGUGUCUUCAGUCGUAUUUCUCUUCACUCAGAUACUGAAGUUAGAGGAACUGUUGGAAUUCAGGUUAUUUUUAGAGAAGUUGGUAGAUUUGUUCUUUAUUCUUUGGGCACCAAGUCCAUCUGUUUUAUUUUAUUUUUCAAAAUGCUA
Calypte anna (Anna's hummingbird) is the source of this 966-nucleotide long non-coding RNA. RefSeq lists it as uncharacterized. The record is from RefSeq and is a predicted model, not a curated record. The transcript has 4 exons. NCBI's taxonomy places the organism in Eukaryota, Metazoa, Chordata, Aves, Apodiformes, Trochilidae.